RNAcentral lists this ribosomal RNA (483 nucleotides) under uncultured bacterium. RNAcentral describes it as "partial 16S ribosomal RNA". It matches the Rfam family "Bacterial small subunit ribosomal RNA", at positions 28 to 507 of the family's 1533-position model. The record is from RNAcentral.
GACGAACGCUGGCGGCGUGCUUAACACAUGCAAGUCGAACGCUGAAGCUCAGCUUUUGUUGGGUGGAUGAGUGGCGAACGGGUGAGUAACACGUGAGUAACCUGCCCCCUUCUUUGGGAUAACGCCCGGAAACGGGUGCUAAUACUGGAUAUUCACUGGUCUUCGCAUGGGGGUUGGUGGAAAGGGUUUUUCUGGUGGGGGAUGGGCUCGCGGCCUAUCAGCUUGUUGGUGGGGUGAUGGCCUACCAAGGCUUUGACGGGUAGCCGGCCUGAGAGGGUGACCGGUCACAUUGGGACUGAGAUACGGCCCAGACUCCUACGGGAGGCAGCAGUGGGGAAUAUUGCACAAUGGGCGCAAGCCUGAUGCAGCGACGCCGCGUGAGGGAUGGAGGCCUUCGGGUUGUGAACCUCUUUCGCUCAUGGUCAAGCCGCAACAAUGGUUGUGGUGAGGGUAGCGGGUAAAGAAGCGCCGGCUAACUACGUG